RNAcentral lists this ribosomal RNA (852 nucleotides) under uncultured Actinomycetes bacterium. RNAcentral describes it as "bacterial SSU rRNA". It matches the Rfam family "Bacterial small subunit ribosomal RNA", at positions 28 to 897 of the family's 1533-position model. The record is from RNAcentral. Lineage: Bacteria; Bacillati; Actinomycetota; Actinomycetes.
GACGAACGCUGGCGGCGUGCUUAACACAUGCAAGUCGAGCGGAAAGGCCCCUUCGGGGGUACUCGAGCGGCGAACGGGUGAGUAACACGUGAGCAACCUGCCCCUGACUCUGGGAUAAGCCUGGGAAACUGGGUCUAAUACCGGAUACGACCACCGAUCGCAUGGUCUGGUGGUGGAAAGUUUUUUCGGUUGGGGAUGGGCUCGCGGCCUAUCAGCUUGUUGGUGGGGUAGUGGCCUACCAAGGCGACGACGGGUAGCCGGCCUGAGAGGGCGACCGGCCACACUGGGACUGAGACACGGCCCAGACUCCUACGGGAGGCAGCAGUGGGGAAUAUUGCGCAAUGGGCGGAAGCCUGACGCAGCGACGCCGCGUGGGGGAUGACGGCCUUCGGGUUGUAAACCUCUUUCAGCAGGGACGAAGUUGACGUGUACCUGCAGAAGAAGCGCCGGCUAACUACGUGCCAGCAGCCGCGGUAAUACGUAGGGCGCAAGCGUUGUCCGGAAUUAUUGGGCGUAAAGAGCUCGUAGGUGGCUGGUCGCGUCUGCCGUGAAAGCCCGCAGCUUAACUGCGGGUCUGCGGUGGAUACGGGCCGGCUAGAGGUAGGUAGGGGCAAGUGGAAUUCCUGGUGUAGCGGUGAAAUGCGCAGAUAUCAGGAGGAACACCGGUGGCGAAGGCGGCUUGCUGGACCUUACCUGACGCUGAGGAGCGAAAGCGUGGGGAGCGAACAGGAUUAGAUACCCUGGUAGUCCACGCUGUAAACGUUGGGCGCUAGGUGUGGGGGUCUUCCACGAUCUCCGUGCCGGAGCUAACGCAUUAAGCGCCCCGCCUGGGGAGUACGGCCGCAAGGCUAA